Molecule: transfer RNA, 85 nt
Filed under: Alsobacter sp.
Lineage: Bacteria; Pseudomonadati; Pseudomonadota; Alphaproteobacteria; Hyphomicrobiales; Alsobacteraceae
Also listed under: 6 other names
Description: tRNA-Leu
Rfam family: tRNA
About the family: Transfer RNA (tRNA) molecules are approximately 80 nucleotides in length.
Source: RNAcentral
GCCCCUAUGGCGGAACUGGUAGACGCGACCGACUCAAAAUCGGUUUCCGCAAGGAGUGCUGGUUCGAUUCCGGCUAGGGGCACCA